GCAUGGUGUUGUUCGAUUAGCAUUGCACACAAGUACGUUUAACUGCUCUACAGCUCAAAAACAUAUUGGAUACUCACCAGUUGUCUCCUUGGAAGCAAGAAAACAUUGUUAGCAUGCUGAGACGACUCGUAGAGGAAAGAAGAGCUUGCCAAGAAACCAAACAUGACAUGCUUGGUCUCCUAAUGAAUGGGGGUGAAGAAAACAGAAAUAAUCUAACAGAUGAAGAGAAAAUUGAUCAAAUGAUAGCAAUUUUGUAUUCUGGAUACGAGACUGUUAUGUAACCAAGUAUUCUUAAAUAUUAAUGGUGUAUUUUCACACCCUACUGUUAUGUAAUAUUUGUGGAUAUGUUAUUUUGUGGGUAAUGGUGAUUGGUGAAUGGGAAAGUGAAUUAAUGA
Molecule: non-coding RNA, 395 nt
Organism: Camellia sinensis
Lineage: Eukaryota; Viridiplantae; Streptophyta; Magnoliopsida; Ericales; Theaceae
Source: RefSeq, a predicted model, not a curated record